This 497-nucleotide ribosomal RNA is filed under the name uncultured bacterium. Its description in RNAcentral is "partial 16S ribosomal RNA". It matches the Rfam family "Bacterial small subunit ribosomal RNA", at positions 29 to 507 of the family's 1533-position model. The record is from RNAcentral.
UAUGCACGCUGGCGGCGUGCCUAAUACAUGCAAGUCGAGCGAACAGACGAGGAGCUUGCUCCUCUGACGUUAGCGGCGGACGGGUGAGUAACACGUGGAUAACCUACCUAUAAGACUGGGAUAACUUCGGGAAACCGGAGCUAAUACCGGAUAAUAUAUUGAACCGCAUGGUUCAAUAGUGAAAGACGGUUUUGCUGUCACUUAUAGAUGGAUCCGCGCCGCAUUAGCUAGUUGGUAAGGUAACGGCUUACCAAGGCGACGAUGCGUAGCCGACAUGAGAGGGUGAUCGGCCACACUGGAACUGAGACACGGUCCAGACUCCUACGGGAGGCAGCAGUAGGGAAUCUUCCGCAAUGGGCGAAAGCCUGACGGAGCAACGCCGCGUGAGUGAUGAAGGUCUUCGGAUCGUAAAACUCUGUUAUUAGGGAAGAACAAAUGUGUAAGUAACUAUGCACGUCUUGACGGUACCUAAUCAGAAAGCCACGGCUAACUACGUG